CCUACGGGAGGCAGCAGUAGGGAAUCUUCCGCAAUGGACGAAAGUCUGACGGAGCAACGCCGCGUGAACGAUGAAGGCCUUCGGGUCGUAAAGUUCUGUUGUUAGGGAAGAACAAGUGCUAGUUGAAUAAGCUGGCACCUUGACGGUACCUAACCAGAAAGCCACGGCUAACUACGUGCCAGCAGCCGCGGUAAUACGUAGGUGGCAAGCGUUGUCCGGAAUUAUUGGGCGUAAAGCGCGCGCAGGCGGUUUCUUAAGUCUGAUGUGAAAGCCCCCGGCUCAACCGGGGAGGGUCAUUGGAAACUGGGAAACUUGAGUGCAGAAGAGGAAAGUGGAAUUCCAAGUGUAGCGGUGAAAUGCGUAGAGAUUUGGAGGAACACCAGUGGCGAAGGCGACUUUCUGGUCUGUAACUGACGCUGAGGCGCGAAAGCGUGGGGAGCAAACAGGAUUAGAUACCCUGGUAGUCCACGCUGUAAACGAUGAGUGCUAAGUGUUAGAGGGUUUCCGCCCUUUAGUGCUGAAGUUAACGCAUUAAGCACUCCGCCUGGGGAGUACGGUCGCAAGCUGAAACUCAAAUUGAAUUGACGG
This 588-nucleotide ribosomal RNA is filed under the name uncultured bacterium. RNAcentral's name for it is "bacterial SSU rRNA". It matches the Rfam family "Bacterial small subunit ribosomal RNA", at positions 338 to 916 of the family's 1533-position model. The record is from RNAcentral.